UGGGGGAUAUUGCACAAUGGGCGAAAGCCUGAUGCAGCGACGCCGCGUGGGGGAUGAAGGCUUUCGGGUUGUAAACCUCUUUCGCUAUCGAACAAGGCCCGCUUAGGGUGGGUUGAGGGUAGGUGGAGAAGAAGCCCCGGCUAACUACGUGCCAGCAGCCGCGGUAAUACGUAGGGGGCUAGCGUUGUCCGGAAUCACUGGGCGUAAAGGGUUCGCAGGCGGAAAUGCAAGUCAGGUGUAAAAGGCAGUAGCUUAACUACUGUAAGCAUUUGAAACUGCAUAUCUUGAGAAGAGUAGAGGUAAGUGGAAUUUUUAGUGUAGCGGUGAAAUGCAUAGAUAUUAAAAAGAAUACCUGUGGCGAAGGCGACUUACUGGGCUCAUUCUGACGCUGAGGAACGAAAGCGUGGGUAGCAAACAGG
This 419-nucleotide ribosomal RNA is filed under the name Fusobacteriota bacterium. RNAcentral describes it as "Fusobacteria bacterium partial 16S ribosomal RNA". It matches the Rfam family "Bacterial small subunit ribosomal RNA", at positions 355 to 776 of the family's 1533-position model. The record is from RNAcentral. Lineage: Bacteria; Fusobacteriati; Fusobacteriota.